CAGUAUAUAUUUUAAUUAAAAUAUUAAUUUUGGAGAUUAAUGAUAAUAUUUGUAUAUUUAUACUGA
Molecule: transfer RNA, 66 nt
Filed under: Myzus persicae (green peach aphid)
Lineage: Eukaryota; Metazoa; Arthropoda; Insecta; Hemiptera; Aphididae
Description: tRNA-Pro
Source: RNAcentral